AACGGCCGUACCAUGCUGAAUAUACCGGUUCUCGUUAGAUCACCGAAGUUAAGCAUCAUUGGGCGCGGUCAGUACUUGGGUGGGUGACCACCUGGGAAAACUUGCGUGCCG
This 111-nucleotide ribosomal RNA is filed under the name Caerostris darwini. Lineage: Eukaryota; Metazoa; Arthropoda; Arachnida; Araneae; Araneidae. The record is from RNAcentral.